Molecule: long non-coding RNA, 3232 nt
Filed under: Solanum lycopersicum (tomato)
Lineage: Eukaryota; Viridiplantae; Streptophyta; Magnoliopsida; Solanales; Solanaceae
Description: long non-coding RNA (SLYC_LNC000371)
Source: RNAcentral
UAUAUGGAUUGAAAUAGUCAAGGAAGAAAAAGGGUACAAAAGAAUGACCCUAAUUUUCCUUGUAUUUUUAUGAAAAGGUCUUGGUAAGACAAAAUUUUGUCUAGACCUACAGAUUGUUAAUUUGACAAAUAAAAUAUUUGUCUAACAGUGCACAUACACUGAAAAAUUUUGAUGCAAUUUUAUGUGGAUAUAUCGCAUUCAUUGAGUACCCCAAUGAUUAUGAGAUCACUUGACAUAAAUGAUGAUUCAGUUUGAUCUCAAAAGAAGGAUGAAGAGUUUCUUGGUGAUGAAAUCUAUCUUGGUGCAAUCAGGGCACUAGUGCAUUUUACUAACAAUAUUUGACCAGAUAUUUGUUUUGCAGUAAAUUUACUAGCAAGAUUCAGUUUCUCCCCGAUAAAAGGACAUUGAAAUGGUGUUGAGCACAUGAAUGAAUAUCCUCGAAGGACCAUAGUUAUGGGUUUAUUCUAUCCCGAGGAAUCCAAGACAAAAUUGAUUGAUUACGCAGAUGCAGAAUAUUUAUCUGAUCCGCAUAAAGCUCUAUCUCAAGCACGCUAUGUGUUUGCGUGUGGAGGCACAAUAAUAUCCUGGGGAUCAAUGAAGCAAAUGUUGCUCUGCAGAAAUAAAAGUCCUCCAUGAAGCAAGUCAAAAGUGCGUCUGGUUGAGAUAAAUGACACACCAUAUUCAAGAAAUGUGUGGUUUUUCUUUAAAAAAAGAAUAUACCAACCACAAUGUACAAAGAUUGGAGACAUCAUCACAAGAAAUCAAGUGAUGUUUUAAUCAGGGGGAGUACAAUACGCGUUGCACUCUUUUUCCCUUGAUCGAGGUUUUUUCCCACUGGGUUUUCCUGGCAAGGUUUUUAAUGAGGCAACAAAUGGUGCGUAUCAAAAGAUAUGUGUACUCUUUUUCCUUCACUAGAAUUUUUUCCCACAGGGUUUUUCCUAGUAAGGUUUUAACAAGGCACAUUAUCUAUGGACAGCCAAGGGGGAGUGUUAUAAAUACAUUGAAUUAAGUGGAUAGUCCAUAAGGUUGGUACAUGAACAACCAUUCAUAUUUACUAGGUGACAUGAACCUUUUUGGAUAAGAAUGUAUCUAUUUAUUAUGAUACUUAAUAUGGUAACCUUUGGAGUGAUUUCUCACUCUAUAAAUAGGGUUGUUCAUUCACUAUUGUAAUAUAUACAUAUGAGACUUGAAUACACUUGAAUAAGAAGAAAAUUCCUCUUCUUCUAUCUACAUCUCUUGUCUUCUUCUCUUUAUGAUUAUAUUGUCAUGAGCUUGAUUUUAUAACACGUUAUCAGCACGAGUCUCUAGCCAAUUAAGAUUGAGUUUUACUUUUUCUUUAACUCAUGUUUUGGUUGAUCUCGUUAUGAAGAUCAAAGUAUUAUAUGCAUAAAAUCAGACAUAUACUACUAUUGGUUGAAUAUGACAUGCUAUACAAAAUUUCUUAAAUAGAAGAAGGUAUAAAAUUUUAAUAGCAUGAAUUUGAAUGUUAUUUUGAUUGUUUUGAAAGACUCAAAGGAUGAGUCAUGUUGUACUUUGAUUUAUUAUACCGUUGGUUAAGGGUAAGACGAUGAAUUCAAGUUUCAUCGCACCAAAAGGGUAAGACAUCAGGUUAAAGUCCGGAUGCACCAUAAUGAAAAAUAUUUGAGGAUAAGACGAUAGAUUCAAGUUCUAUCGCACCAAAAGGGUAAGACAUCAAUUUGAGUUUUGAUGCACCGUGAUUGGAUUCAAGUCCCAUAGAAUUAUGGCGUAAAACGCCUUAUAUGGAUAAGACAUUGAGUUUGAGUCAAUGCACCAUAAUGAUGAUAUAAUGAUGACUAGGCUUUGAUGAAAAGUCUUGAAAUUCGUUCUAUUGAAUUUGCUUCAUUCCUUGAAAAGAAUGUGGUAGCAACAUGUAAUAACUCUGAAAUCCGCCUGUUAACUUGCUCCAUUCAAUCAUAUGAAUGUGGUAGCAGUGAAUGUUAGUCUGAAAGAUGACAAAUGAUUAAUGAUAUGAAUAAGGGCGUGGAGGGACAUAAUUAUAAUAGUCAUCAUUGUGGUAAUGAUAAAAGGAAGAACACUAUAAGUUCUUCAAAUAGUCCUUUAAAAUGUGAAGGAAAUUUAAAUAAAUAUGUGAACUUAAAGUUCAAGGGAUAAUUCAGUUGCAUAAUGUUGCAAAUCAGUUGCCAGAGGAAUGCACUGACCCUAUGAUAUAAUUCAGCUGCGAAUGCUUCAAUGUGAAGUCCUUGAAGGACAGAGUCUAUGAUACGCCGAAAGCGUAAUAGACCAAUUGAUUCCAAAUAUAAAAUUCCUUAAAGAAGGAAGGAACAAAUGAUCAAUAUGGUCAUGAUAAUGAGGCAAGUGCUAUAAAAGAGCACAUUGACAUAACACUUCAUAAAAUCUUGAAAAAGGUUCAGGUACCUGAAAUAAUAAAAAAUGAAGAGAUCUCGAUAAGUUAUGUCUUGUUGGAAUCGAUAUCAAAUAACCUCGACGGUAUCUUUGAUAUGAGGUAGCGCUCAAUGAUAUAAAUUGUGACGAGGAUCUUGAAUUCAAAUCUGUCAUAUAGUGUGGACAGAUAAAUGGUUGGCCAAGUAAAAUGCACAAUUCAAGUAUAUUUUGUUUCACUUAGAAAAGUGACAUUUUGGACUGGUAGUCCAUAAAUCAAGGUAUAAUGUCAGUGGGGUACAAAUAAAUUAUUAUGCGAUAGUAUAACCGUAAGAUAUCAAAUACGGUUUGUGCCUUGGGGCAUAAAGGUUUAUCGCAAAAAUCCUGACAUUAUUGGAGAUGUUUUCUCCUUUGGUGGAUGCAAUGAGGUUUGUUUUGAUCUGGCAACAUAUGAAAACUUGAAUGCAUGUAAAUGAAUAAUUGUAAUGUCUAGCUAGACAAUGAAGGUUAUAUGAAAAUUCUUGAAACAAUCGAGGUGUCUGAAGCAUAUAAGAGUUUGAAAGAAACUUUUCCAGUAAAGCUUCAAGAAUCUUUAUAUGGAUUGAAAUAGUCAAGGAAGAAAAAGGGUACAAAAGAAUGACCCUAAUUUUCCUUGUAUUUUUAUGAAAAGGUCUUGGUAAGACAAAAUUUUGUCUAGACCUACAGAUUGUUAAUUUGACAAAUAAAAUAUUUGUCUAACAGUGCACAUACACUGAAAAAUUUUGAUGCAAUUUUAUGUGGAUAUAUCGCAUUCAUUGAGUACCCCAAUGAUUAUGAGAUCACUUGACAUAAAUGAUGAUUCAGUUUGAUCUCAAAAGAAGGAUGAAGAGUU